Molecule: long non-coding RNA, 237 nt
Filed under: Musa acuminata (dwarf banana)
Lineage: Eukaryota; Viridiplantae; Streptophyta; Magnoliopsida; Zingiberales; Musaceae
Description: long non-coding RNA (MACU_LNC004336)
Source: RNAcentral
UUGGGAAAAAUAGAGGUACGACAAAGAAGAGGAAAAAACCCAAUAUGGAAACAAAUAACAAACACAAGAUCAAGAAUACUUUAGGAAAGAUAUUUAGGCUUGAAACGUGUAUAAAUACUUUCCUAAAAACGAUAUUUGCACCCUCUUCUCAAUAAGAUUGCUCUGGGUUUGAUGCAAAUAGUUUUAGUGGAUAUGACAAGCCUUUAGAAGAUCUGUAUUGAGCAAACAAUAAAGAAU